Molecule: ribosomal RNA, 265 nt
Filed under: uncultured bacterium
Lineage: Bacteria
Description: partial 16S ribosomal RNA
Rfam family: Bacterial small subunit ribosomal RNA
Source: RNAcentral
GUCCACGCCCUAAACUAUGAUCACUCGAUGUCGGAGGAUUCGACCCCUUCGGUGUCUAAGUUAACACGAUAAGUGAUCCGCCUGGGUAGUACGAUCGCAAGAUUAAAACUCAAAGGAAUAGACGGGGACCCGCACAAGCGGUGGAGCAUCUGGUUUAAUUCGACAGUAAACGAAGAACCUCACCAAGACUUGACAUCCCCGAGAAGAUCGUCGAAAGAUGAUUGUGCCGCAAGGAACUCGGUGACAGGUGCUGCAUGGUUGUCGU